CGAGAGUACUCGUAAGCUGGCAAUGAAAUUGUAGUUCUGAGCUGGCGACGGUGUCGGAGAGCUCAUCGUCUUGGCGCCCUGUGAGGCCACCUGCUCGUAGCUGAUUUAAUUAUGCCUGACAUGCGCACAGCGCACAGCACGGAUCGUCUGGGCCCCGACCCUCAGCUCGGGGUGGCAGUCACCAGUCAAUGGCAGCGCUGUGGCAAGUUGUCACGCGACUCUCCGCCAUCCCUCAUCUUGCACUCGGAAAGCUGAGCUCAUCGUCUCAGCGGAGAUGACGUAAGAUAGGCAGGAUGCCAGCCAAGCGGUGGCCAUUAGCCGAGCGCAUGCUGGCUCAGAGCCGCUCAUCAUCGUCUUUAAUGACAAACAUUAAAAAGUACAUAUCUCGA
Drosophila miranda is the source of this 389-nucleotide long non-coding RNA. RefSeq lists it as uncharacterized. The transcript has 2 exons. The record is from RefSeq and is a predicted model, not a curated record. NCBI's taxonomy places the organism in Eukaryota, Metazoa, Arthropoda, Insecta, Diptera, Drosophilidae.